GAUGAACGCUGGCGGCGUGCCUAAUACAUGCAAGUCGAGCGAAAAGAUGCGGCGCUUGCUCCUUUGACGUUAGCGGAGGACGGGUGAGUAACACGUGGAUAACCUACUUAUCAGACUGGGAUCACUUCGGGACACCGGCGCUAAUCCCGGAUAAUAUCUUGAACCGCAUGGUUCAAUAGUGAAAGACGGCUUUGCUGUCACUUAUAGAUGCAUCUGGGCCGCAUUGGCUAGUUGGUACGUUCACGGCUUACCAAGGCAACGAUGCGUAGCCGACCUGCGAGGGGGGUCGGCGGCACUGGAGCUGAGACGCGGACAAGGGUCCUACGGGAGGCAGCAGUAGGGUAUCUGCCGCAGUGGUCGAAAGCCUUACAGAGCAGCGCCACGUGAGUUAUGAAGAUCUUCGGAGCGUAAAACUCUGUUAUGGGUUGAGAACAAAUGUGUAAUGAACUAUGCACUGCGUGACGGUACUUAGUCAGAAAGCCACGGCUAACUACGUG
This 497-nucleotide ribosomal RNA is filed under the name uncultured bacterium. RNAcentral's name for it is "partial 16S ribosomal RNA". It matches the Rfam family "Bacterial small subunit ribosomal RNA", at positions 28 to 507 of the family's 1533-position model. The record is from RNAcentral.